This 73-nucleotide transfer RNA is filed under the name Gigantopelta aegis. Its description in RNAcentral is "tRNA-Val". It matches the Rfam family "tRNA". From Rfam's summary of the family: Transfer RNA (tRNA) molecules are approximately 80 nucleotides in length. Their secondary structure includes four short double-helical elements and three loops (D, anti-codon, and T loops). The record is from RNAcentral. Lineage: Eukaryota; Metazoa; Mollusca; Gastropoda; Neomphalida; Peltospiridae.
GGUUUCGUGGUGUAGUGGUUAUCACGUCUGCUUCACACGCAGAAGGUCGCGUGUUCGAGCCUCGCCGAAACCU